Molecule: ribosomal RNA, 934 nt
Filed under: Microbacterium sp. BE350
Lineage: Bacteria; Bacillati; Actinomycetota; Actinomycetes; Micrococcales; Microbacteriaceae
Description: bacterial SSU rRNA
Rfam family: Bacterial small subunit ribosomal RNA
Source: RNAcentral
GACGGCCUUCGGGUUGUAAACCUCUUUUAGCAGGGAAGAAGCGAAAGUGACGGUACCUGCAGAAAAAGCGCCGGCUAACUACGUGCCAGCAGCCGCGGUAAUACGUAGGGCGCAAGCGUUAUCCGGAAUUAUUGGGCGUAAAGAGCUCGUAGGCGGUUUGUCGCGUCUGCUGUGAAAUCCCGAGGCUCAACCUCGGGCCUGCAGUGGGUACGGGCAGACUAGAGUGCGGUAGGGGAGAUUGGAAUUCCUGGUGUAGCGGUGGAAUGCGCAGAUAUCAGGAGGAACACCGAUGGCGAAGGCAGAUCUCUGGGCCGUAACUGACGCUGAGGAGCGAAAGGGUGGGGAGCAAACAGGCUUAGAUACCCUGGUAGUCCACCCCGUAAACGUUGGGAACUAGUUGUGGGGUCCAUUCCACGGAUUCCGUGACGCAGCUAACGCAUUAAGUUCCCCGCCUGGGGAGUACGGCCGCAAGGCUAAAACUCAAAGGAAUUGACGGGGACCCGCACAAGCGGCGGAGCAUGCGGAUUAAUUCGAUGCAACGCGAAGAACCUUACCAAGGCUUGACAUAUACGAGAACGGGCCAGAAAUGGUCAACUCUUUGGACACUCGUAAACAGGUGGUGCAUGGUUGUCGUCAGCUCGUGUCGUGAGAUGUUGGGUUAAGUCCCGCAACGAGCGCAACCCUCGUUCUAUGUUGCCAGCACGUAAUGGUGGGAACUCAUGGGAUACUGCCGGGGUCAACUCGGAGGAAGGUGGGGAUGACGUCAAAUCAUCAUGCCCCUUAUGUCUUGGGCUUCACGCAUGCUACAAUGGCCGGUACAAAGGGCUGCAAUACCGCGAGGUGGAGCGAAUCCCAAAAAGCCGGUCCCAGUUCGGAUUGAGGUCUGCAACUCGACCUCAUGAAGUCGGAGUCGCUAGUAAUCGCAGAUCAGCAA